RNAcentral lists this ribosomal RNA (433 nucleotides) under uncultured bacterium. RNAcentral's name for it is "partial 16S ribosomal RNA". It matches the Rfam family "Bacterial small subunit ribosomal RNA", at positions 29 to 507 of the family's 1533-position model. The record is from RNAcentral.
AACGAACGCUGGCGGCAUGCCUAACACAUGCAAGUCGAACGAGACCUCCGGGUCUAGUGGCGCACGGCUGCGUAACACCUGGGAACUUGCCCUUAGGUUCGGAAUCACUGCCUGAAAGGGGUGUUAAUACCGGAUAAUGUCUUCGGACCAAAGAUUUAUCGCCUUUGGAUGGGCCCGCGUUGGAUUAGCUAGUUGGUAGGGUAAAAGCCUACCAAGGCGACGAUCCAUAGCUGGUCUGAGAGGAUGAUCAGCCACACUGGGACUGAGACACGGCCCAGACUCCUACGGGAGGCAGCAGUGGGGAAUAUUGGACAAUGGGCGAAAGCCUGAUCCAGCAAUGCCGCGUGAGUGAUGAAGGCCUUAGGGUUGUAAAGCUCUUUUACCCGGGAUGAUAAUGACAGUACCGGGAGAAUAAGCUCCGGCUAACUCCGUG